This 364-nucleotide ribosomal RNA is filed under the name uncultured bacterium. RNAcentral's name for it is "partial 16S ribosomal RNA". It matches the Rfam family "Bacterial small subunit ribosomal RNA", at positions 355 to 730 of the family's 1533-position model. The record is from RNAcentral.
UGGGGAAUAUUGCACAAUGGGCGCAAGCCUGAUGCAGCAACGCCGCGUGAGGGACGACGGCCUUCGGGUUGUAAACCUCUUUUAGUAGGAAGAAGCGAAAGUGACGGUACCUGCAGAAAAAGCACCGGCUAACCGUACGUGCCAGCAGCCGCGGUAAUACGUAGGGUGCGAGCGUUGUCCGGAAUUAUUGGGCGUAAAGAGCUCGUAGGCGGUCUGUCGCGUCUGCUGUGAAAACCCGAGGCUCAACCUCGGGCCUGCAGUGGGUACGGGCAGACUAGAGUGCGGUAGGGGAGAAUGGAAUUCCUGGUGUAGCGGUGGAAUGCGCAGAUAUCAGGAGGAACACCGAUGGCGAAGGCAGUUCUCU